RNAcentral lists this ribosomal RNA (254 nucleotides) under uncultured bacterium. Its description in RNAcentral is "partial small subunit ribosomal RNA". It matches the Rfam family "Bacterial small subunit ribosomal RNA", at positions 26 to 285 of the family's 1533-position model. The record is from RNAcentral.
AGGACGAACGCUGGCGGCGUGCUUAACACAUGCAAGUCGAGCGGAAAGGCCCUUCGGGGUACUCGAGCGGCGAACGGGUGAGUAACACGUGAGCAACCUGCCCUUAGCUUCGGGAUAGCUCCGGGAAACCGGAAUUAAUACCGAAUAUGAAUGCGGCUGACAUCAGCCACAUUGGAAAGUUUUUCGGCUAGGGAUGGACUCGCGGCCUAUCAGCUAGUUGGUGAGGUAACGGCCCACCAAGGCGACGACGGGUA